ACGACCGGCGCACGGGUGAGUAACGCGUAUACAGUUUGCCUUUUACUUAGGGAUAGCCCAGAGAAAUUUGGAUUAAUACCUUAUGGUAUUAUUGAUUGGCAUCGAUCGGUAAUUAAAGCUUCGGCGGUAAAAGAUGAGUAUGCGUUCUAUUAGCUAGAUGGUAAGGUAACGGCUUACCAUGGCAACGAUAGAUAGGGGCCCUGAGAGGGGGAUCCCCCACACUGGUACUGAGACACGGACCAG
This 243-nucleotide ribosomal RNA is filed under the name uncultured bacterium. RNAcentral describes it as "partial 16S ribosomal RNA". It matches the Rfam family "Bacterial small subunit ribosomal RNA", at positions 91 to 334 of the family's 1533-position model. The record is from RNAcentral.